UACAGAGGUCUCGAGCGUUGUUCGGAUUCAUUGGGCGUAAAGGGUGCGUAGGUGGCUGCGUAAGUCGGGUGUGAAAUCCCGGGGCUCAACCCCGGAACUGCACUCGAUACUGCGUGGCUUGAGUACUGGAGAGGAGAUUGGAAUUUACGGUGUAGCAGUGAAAUGCGUAGAUAUCGUAAGGAAGACCAGUGGCGAAGGCGGAUCUCUGGACAGUUACUGACACUGAGGCACGAAGGCCCAGGGGAGCAAACGGG
RNAcentral lists this ribosomal RNA (254 nucleotides) under uncultured bacterium. RNAcentral describes it as "partial 16S ribosomal RNA". It matches the Rfam family "Bacterial small subunit ribosomal RNA", at positions 524 to 776 of the family's 1533-position model. The record is from RNAcentral.